AAAGGGAGACCUAAUUCAGGUAAAAGACGAAAAAAAAGUAGUCGCUACCAAGAAUCAAUCCCAAAAGGUCGGAGCGAGGCGAAAUUGGCCUUCAAACUAGGUUCUGGGUUCAAACAAGACCUGAAUCAGGAACAAGGGCUAUUAGCUCAGGUGGUUAGAGCGCACCCCUGAUAAGGGUGAGGUCCCUGGUUCGAGUCCAGGAUGGCCCACCUGCACAGGUGGCAAAAACAAGAGAAGCGAGGAAUCAGCACCUUAUCUUACUUAUAUAGUAAGAGAGAAUGCUGGCUCUGAGUAAAGAGUCCAGAGGAACCUUGAAAACUGCAUAGAGCUAGGUGAAAAAGCCAAAAAAGAAGACCGCAAG
RNAcentral lists this transfer RNA (361 nucleotides) under uncultured Microcystis sp. RNAcentral's name for it is "partial 16S-23S ribosomal RNA intergenic spacer". The stretch from base 136 to 209 matches the Rfam family "tRNA". The record is from RNAcentral. Lineage: Bacteria; Bacillati; Cyanobacteriota; Cyanophyceae; Chroococcales; Microcystaceae.